Molecule: long non-coding RNA, 284 nt
Filed under: Lathyrus oleraceus (garden pea)
Lineage: Eukaryota; Viridiplantae; Streptophyta; Magnoliopsida; Fabales; Fabaceae
Description: Pisum sativum (pea) long non-coding RNA (PSAT_LNC040514)
Source: RNAcentral
AGGUUCAAAGGCACAUUGCCAUGAUUGGAAGUGCCUCAUUCAUUAAAGCCUGAUUAUUGGUUGAUGUUGGCUAACAUUGUGUUGUUUUGUAGGCUUUGAGAACAAAUUCACUUGUGCUUGUGCCUUGCUCAUUGUCUGAUGAGGCUUUGUCUGUCUGUUUAAUAUUGACUGUUGGUUGUUUGUCUAUACAGUUUAACUGAUUCUGUUUGACUUUUGUACAGGUACACUUAGUUGCUCAGUUCUCUUAAGAACUUGCAUUGCUUUGCUUAUAAGCAAUUGGCAUU